Tilletiopsis washingtonensis is the source of this 93-nucleotide non-coding RNA. NCBI's taxonomy places the organism in Eukaryota, Fungi, Basidiomycota, Exobasidiomycetes, Entylomatales. The record is from the annotation of a RefSeq genome assembly.
GGAGGCGUGGCGCAAUGGCAACGCAUGUGAUUCCAGCUUUAGUCAGUCCCUUCAGCUUCCACAAGAUCGCCGGUUCGAUUCCGGUCGCCUUCA